This is a long non-coding RNA of Musca vetustissima, 338 nucleotides long. RefSeq lists it as uncharacterized. NCBI's taxonomy places the organism in Eukaryota, Metazoa, Arthropoda, Insecta, Diptera, Muscidae. The record is from RefSeq and is a predicted model, not a curated record. The transcript has 2 exons.
GUGAUGGAAUAGUGUGAUUUCUUUAUACUUGGCUGGAAACCCACAAGUAGCUAUCGUUCGAGCAUUCCAGCAUUUAAAUGUGAAUAAAUCUUUUGUGGCUCCGUAGCCCGACGUCAAGGAAGUGGACGGAAGAAAACAGCAACAUCAGCAGAAAUGGUUCGAAAAGUAAUGAAGCGAUUUGAUCGAAACCCGCGUCGCAGUGGGCGAAAAAUGGUUCGUGAGCUGAACAUAUCGCAAUAUUGCAUUCGGCAAAUAUUAAAAAAUGAGCUCAGGGUAAAGGCAUUGAAAUUCCAAAAAGAGCAAGAACUUACACCGCAACAGAAAGAAAAUAGGCUCAA